Heterocephalus glaber (naked mole-rat) is the source of this 5592-nucleotide long non-coding RNA. The record is from Ensembl. Lineage: Eukaryota; Metazoa; Chordata; Mammalia; Rodentia; Bathyergidae.
GUCCCCGAGGGCACCGGAGCAGCAAGUGACCAUGUCCCCGCCUGUCCCCCAGGUCCAUCGUGGGACGAGAUUCUUCUUCCUCCUGGGAACGCUGUACCUGUACCGCUGGGUCACCAUGUACGUGACCACGCUGCCUGUGCCCGGCAUGCACAUUCAGUGCGCCCCCAAGACUCCCCGCGCCACUUCUGGUGGUAUCACCUGGUCUGCUGGCUGCUGAGCGCUGCCGGCAUCCUCUGCAUCCUCGUGGCGCACAAGCACUACACGGUGGACGUGAUCGGUUGCCUAUUACAUCACCACGAGGCUGUUCUGGUGGUACCACUCCAUGGCCAACGAGAAGAACCUGAAGGUCUCCUCACACACGAACUUCCUGUCCCGAGCCUGGUGGUUUCCUGUCUUCCAUUUCUUUGAGAAGAACAUCCAGGGCUCAGUCCCUUAGCGCUUUCUCCUGGCCGCUGUCCUGGCCUCCCGGCUGCUUCAAGUCGUGCGUGCAAAAAGUACUCCCGGGUGCAGAAGUCGGGCGAGGACAGUGAGAAGUCCACCUGAGCCACGGCCGUGCUCCACGCUGCAGCCAAAGACAGCUCCGUCCUUAUGCUGGAGAACUGACUGGAGGCGGAGCAGCCGUCCACACUGCAGGCUCGGGGGAGAUGAGGGGCGUAUUGAUUACCUCGAGAGGUCUCUGUCCCUCCUGAGGCCUGCCUCACUGGUGAUGGGACCUCAGCGGGCUGUACGGUGAGCUUGUUAAAGAGGUGCCAAAGACCCCAGACUCCUCUUUCUUCCCUGUCACUGAGCCCCACCUCUGCACUCCUUCAGGGCGUCCUCCUCACCGGGGUCAGCGGGAUUUGUUCAUGUUUUGAAUAAAAGAUCCGGGUCUAUGCAGCCACCGGGCACAGGGAAUCCCCCUGAGGAGAGGGGUCCUGGCCGGGACUGGGAGCUGAGUCCAAGUGCACUUUCUUUCCAACCUGGCGGGGGAGGAAGGUCGCAGUGGGUCCCCGGUGCCCUCGCUGCCACUUUGACUCUUUUCUGUUUUUUAUUUCUUUCAAAUGAAUCAUUUUGAAGAAAAAGAUCCAAAAGAAAUCUGAAAGUAUUUAAUCUAUCCAUGGAUUUAAAUGUAAUGUUCAUAUUUCAAUUUAAAAUCUUUAGGAUGUCCGGGUGUGGGGGUGCAUGCCUGUAAUCUCAGCACUCAGGGGGCUGAGGCAGGAGGGUCACUGCAAGUUCGAGGCUAGCCUGAACGAUAUAGCGAGCCCCUGUCUCAAAAAACCAAAACAGAAGUAAAUGAAUCUGGUUCACCAGAAGUACGAGGCUGUUUCACACACACAGCUGGAUGCUGCUGCCCGGGGCAUUUGCCUCCGGCUGGCACAGGCGGCAGCACCUGGUGCUGAGCACUCACACCAGGGACGAGAGAGCUGGCUGACCUCGGGGUGGGAUGCCUGGCUAGACCUCGGAAGGACCCGUGUGGGCUGCUUCCCUGCACACUGUUCCUCGCUGGCCACCCUGGGUGCUGCAGGCCGAGUGGAGUCGCAGGUUGAAGGUGUCCUGGCCAGUGGCUUCCCGGGCAGCCGCUGCAUGGGCGCCUUUCCCGGGUGGGGAGGCCGAAAGUGGACAACUGUUCCCGAAUGUCUGUCCAGAGAUGCCAAACAGAAGGUGGCUUUGAGGAUCUGGUCAGAUAGUACUGUCAGUUUCCUGCAUUACUCAGUGCGAUUGAAAUUUGUGGCUAAUUUCUGGCUUAAUGCCUUCACUCUGUGAACACUAAUUUCUAGGACUUGGGAGGUGAAAUUUCCCUAGAUUUAUCAUUACAAGCCUCUCAGCCUUGAUGACACAAGUUGACUUUUUUUUGCUUGCAAAAGGCACUAAACAGAUCUAUCCAGAAGGGUCAUUUUCCUUUGGUGCUAAAAUUCUGUCUGUCCCAAUGGCUCUUUCUCCACAUAAUAGAAGAAUCCCUCAAGGGAGGGUGGUUGAAUUCAAAGGCAGGAAGAAAAACUCUCCAAUCCGUUAUUUUAAACGAGAAAGAAACCUUCACCAUCUGUGGCUGACUUUGAAACCCAAGGAUUUUCCAAUGUUUUUAAAUAAAGCACUAAUCAACAUGUGUCUACCCUAGCUGGUAUGUUCAGGCCUAAUUCUAUAGAAUUUCCACCCCUGUGCAUUUACCCGAUGUUGACUCUUGUGGUAGAACAAGAUGUUCUGCUUGAAAACACUAAUUUCAGAUUCCUGUUGUCUGACUAAGGAAAUUCAUUGGACCUUGAAGCCCUGCGUCUGUAGCUCAAAACAAUCCACUGGACUUCAGGGUGUCCAGGUGACCCACUUUCCUGCCAUCGGGUGAGGGAAAGUGCUUAAGCUUUAAAGACCAUUGUGUAUUGAGGAUCAGACUCCCUCCAAAUGGGCAGCCUUGCACUGCAGCCAGCUCAUCCAGGGACAGGUAUAACCGUCUGCUCCUAAAGGGCCCGGGAACCCCGAGACCCUCCUGUGGGGCACAGCGGUCUGUGCCCCUGGUCUUGUGUCCUGGCUCUCUCUCACAGAUGCUGACGAAGAGGGUGGCGGGAUAAUAAAAGAGGAAAAUGUCCAGGUUUCAAGCAGAAGAAGAAAUGAGACUCAUUUACAUGUAGGAGAACAAACUUGAGAUUUAACCCCACGAGCCACUUUGGCAUGGAAAAAACCAAUUACAAUGUUGCCUUUGAAGCAGUAAAUUUUCAUGAUGCCUUUUCCUUGCCAAUUAAAAUACAGCUGUUACACGUGACCUAUGUUUUUGUAAUCUGUGCUCCUAGCGAAUCCUUUGAAAUGUCUGACACAUAAUGCUUAUAAAUUAAGCCACAUUUUUUUCCUGAACUCUUCCCAGUAGAAAUAAGUGCUCUCAGAUUCAAUUAUAUUUUAGCUCCUUCAUGAGAUUUAAGAAGAAAGUGUUCUUCUGCCAGUCCCGCCUGAAUUCAAUGUGAAUUUAUGGUUUAAUUUAGGGCGUCUUGGGAAACAGCCGUUGCUAUGGAAGGGAGCUUGGCGCUCCGGUUCUUGGGCGUGUUCUCAGAGCCCCCUUGUGGCAGGAUGUCACGCAGCUUGGGACACAAAUGCCACUUCGUAAAAUACGUGUUCAGGUUUCAAAAAGGCAUUUGUGUUUCUUUCCCUUUGUGUAUUCGCUUGAUUUGCCUGUGAUCCUGGGGAAGGAAUUAUUUUAAAGACAUUUUAAACCCUUCUCAAAGGGGAAAUGUUCUCGGAUGGUAGUGACUUGUGAUUCUGGCCUUUUAUCCGUUCGAUGAAGGAAAACGUGCCUACCGUGGUUACCUCUCAGGGUCUCAAUAAUUGAUGCCUCCUUAUGCCCACCGACACCUGUUUGCUGGGAAUCCCUGCCAGCUGUCUUUCUUACUUUUUUUUUUUUUAAUUUACAUGCUAGACGUCAUAGACUUUGUUUUUAAACCGAAAAUUCACAUCUUGUUCCUUGAAUAUGUUGAACAUUUCUUUUUUCUUUUGGCAUAAUUUUUGUUUUGUACUGUAAACUGAUUAAAGAUUUGAAGCUGGUCUUAACACCCUCACUUCUAUAGUGUAAAAGAGGUGUGAGGAGGAAUUUCUUAAUGAGUUUACAUGUUUAAAUCAAGCAGAUUAUAAUUUAUAUGCCACAUAUUCUGUUUGUAUAAAGAGCUGCUGGUAUUUUUGCUUUUAAUGUCAUUAUGUUGCAAUAAUUUAACUCCUUUGACUCCACUGGUAAAAAUAUUUCCUUUAUUAUGAAGUGCUCUUGUCUUCAAUAUCCAGACACUGAAAAUCGUGUCAAAUGUACCCAAAGAGGAGUUUUUAUACAGGUAGACACCUUAUAAGUCCAGGUUUGUUUUAUUAUUCAUUAAUCUAACUUUGUGUCCUAAGUGAAUCAUUAAGGAGAAGAGCACUUUACUAUGGAAUUAUUUUUAAUUGCCCUUUAGAAGAAGCUGUACACAUAAGCCAGUCUUGCUUCCAAGUUGGAACUCACUAUGUAAUUUACCUCCUCUGCGAUAAUGGAUCCAGAACAUACGGCUGGGGUACAGCAUAUUCACAAAAGAAAUAUUGUCACAAAGUUAGCGGGCCGGGGGCAAUUACUUUGUUUUGGAAACUUACUGUACUGUUUCAAUGUGUUAAGUGCCUUGUUAUGAAGUAAAAUUUUAAGUUUAGGAUUCAUUAUUUUCCUGACAUAUAUUUUCAUUAAGAUAUGUGCUGUAUGUUAUUGUAAUAGUUUUAUUAAAUGCUUACCUUUUAACCAAAUAUGUACAUUUCCGAAACUCCUUUCCUCCUGCCCACAGCACCUUGCAUUCAGGUUAUUGUUGUUAAAGGAAAUUACCCUUGUUUAGCACUAUAGUGUCCUUGCUUGUGCUUUUGCUUCUGGGAAGACAUUUCAGGAGGAAACUAGGGGUCUAACUAGUUUAUACUUUUGCAGUGCUGUCUUACAUUUACAUUUUAAGUGCCUAAAUGUUAAAACUAAUUUACAUUUCUAUUUGAAAGAGGAUAUGUGUACUUGGUUUUUAAUCUUUUUCGUUUUGCUUUUAAAAAAAACCAAACCUGCAAGAGCCUAUACUUUGUAUUUACCAAUAAACCACAGUGACACUAACAGCCUUUUCAAAACUGGUAGUACUGUUUCUUUUAUUUUUCAAAAGGUGGUCUUAAAUUUAUUUAGUUUCAGAGUACUUGUUAAAACCACAAGUUAUGUUCUUCAAGCACUUUUUUUCUGAGACAGGGCUUUGCUGUGUGCCCCAGGCUGGCCUUGAACUUGACAGGAUCCUCCUGCCUCAGCCUCCUGAGUGCUGGGAUGACAAGUGUGCACCACUGCGCCCGGCGCAUCAGUAUUUUUUUAAAAUAAGCUAGAUAACCUUUAACUCAUGGAACUGUAAGUCAACUGGAAUGGAUUAUUUUUUUCCUGCCCUUGUAUUUAAGGUGAAAAAUUAUUUUGAAACUAUAGAAGAUGGUUUGUGGAAAAAAUUCAUUACGCUACAAUUGUGGGUCUCCUUGGUCACAAGGGGACAAAGCCCCAGUUCUUAAAGGAGAGCUGGGUACCUGUCACUCAGUUUAGAGAAACCUGGCUCCUUUGCAGAGGCCCUGGGGCGCCGUCCUCAGCUGCUCUGGCCCGGGCUGAGUGACUCUAGACCUCCUGACAGGUGAGAUCCUGGCCCUGAGAGGGACUCAGCAGGACGUGGCCCAGGGGGCGGGGCUCCUGGGGCUUCUGGAGACGCCCUGGGUCUGCACUGGUUGCCGGGAAACAGCAAAGAUGGGGGAGUUCUGCAGCUGCCUCUGCCAGGGGUGGGGACAGCACGUUCGCCCCAGAGGUGGCCGUGGCCCUGGCCACACGGUGAGCUACUGGCUUGGCCUUGGGCUGCUCAGGCGGAAUCCACUAUACAAGAAACGUCCGCGUUCGGGACGGACAGGCGGAUUCGAGGCUGAGCUCCCGGGCCGCCUCGGAGACAGUGGGAGACGCCUGGGCAGCCCUGCAAGUGCCCGUGAGGACUAAGACGCUCAUUCUCUUUCUGAAGCCAACUCCAGGAAGGAAUGAACAGGCAACCUCACACAACGAAAGCCGUGCUCCAAAACGUAGAUUGUGGACAAGAUUCUGAGGGACUAGAAACCACUUUAAAAUGAAAAUAAGAGCCAGGG